ACCAGCAGUGGGGUCAGAACCCUUUGCACAGACGUGUCCUCUGCCUUCUCUAACUGGCGUCCCCCGGAUGAGAUAGCAUUUACUGCACAGCAAUGCUGAUUCAAAGUGCCAUCUAAACAGGCUUGGUCCUCAUGAUUGCAGGCUGCCCUUCUCUAUCCAAGGGGCUUUCCUGAAGCCUGGAUUAUCCUGCUUCAUUAUUGGGAAUUGCUAGACAGGGCAAACUCUUUCCCUCUGUUACACAGUUUGACCUCUCAGUUCACAGAAGCCAGCCUGGAAAGACAUUUACCCACUGUGAUGGCCCCUGUUCUUUCUCCUCUGGGUUCGUGUUAUGCUUCUCUCCUACUUCGAAGACAGUGUCUGGGCUUCACAAACCAGGCCUGCCUGUCUGAGCUCAGACUGCGAGGGACAGCUGCUUCUUCAUGCCCCACCAUCCACCACACUGACCACUCCUGGGGUAAGCGUUCAUGGAUGGUCCUCGGGGUCUGCUGGGUCUAAGUGCCAAAUGUCCUGGAGAAAAGAUUCCUUUGUCUUUGGAGGAGCCACCCUACCCCGUAUGCCCAAAGGACAGAUGAGUCUGGAUUCCAAGGCUUGCCAGUUCCCAGCUGUGUGGCUUUUAGAUUGUC
This 623-nucleotide long non-coding RNA is filed under the name Cricetulus griseus (Chinese hamster). RNAcentral describes it as "lncRNA (ENSCGRG00000024915.1)". The record is from RNAcentral. Lineage: Eukaryota; Metazoa; Chordata; Mammalia; Rodentia; Cricetidae.